AAUAGAUACCCGGGUAGUCCACGCUGUAAACGAUGAUUACUGGUUGUUAGCGAUAUAUAGCUAGUGACUGAGCGAAAGCAUUAAGUAAUCCACCUGGGGAGUACGUCGGCAACGAUGAAACUCAAAGGAAUUGACGGGGGCCCGCACAAGCGGAGGAACAUGUGGUUUAAUUCGAUGAUACGCGAGGAACCUUACCUGGGUUUAAAUGGGGAGUGCCAGGUGUCGAAAGAUGCUUUUCCUUCGGGACACUCUUCAAGGUGCUGCAUGGUUGUCGUCAGCUCGUGCCGUGAGGUGUCGGGUUAAGUCCCAUAACGAGCGCAACCCUUGCCGACAGUUGCCAUCACGUAAAGGUGGGCACUCUAUCGGGACUGCCGGUGUAAACCGUGAGGAAGGUGGGGAUGACGUCAAAUCAGCACGGCCCUUACAUCCAGGGCUACACACGUGUUACAAUGGCCAGUACAGAGGGCCGCUACCCCGCGAGGGGAUGCCAAUCUCGAAAGCUGGUCUCAGUUCGGAUUGAAGUCUGGAACCCGCUUCA
RNAcentral lists this ribosomal RNA (538 nucleotides) under uncultured bacterium. RNAcentral describes it as "bacterial SSU rRNA". It matches the Rfam family "Bacterial small subunit ribosomal RNA", at positions 777 to 1320 of the family's 1533-position model. The record is from RNAcentral.